Long non-coding RNA from Cyprinus carpio carpio, 1924 nucleotides. The record is from Ensembl. Lineage: Eukaryota; Metazoa; Chordata; Actinopteri; Cypriniformes; Cyprinidae.
UAUACAUCGGAUUGGUUUCUUCUUUAAAUUAUAAAGAAGAUAUAUGAUUUUACGAUUACAGAUUACAGAUCGUAAGGAUUUUUUUUAUCAGUAAAAACAAUUCAAACAUGUGUCAUCCAUCAGUAUCAAUCUUUCCUAUCACCAAGACAUGAAGAAAAAACUGACAAACUCAUCACAAAUGUUUUUUUUUUGCACCUCUGAGCUAUUCAUCACAAAAACAGGACAUGAUACUGAUAACUUGUUGUGUUUUCAUAUUUGUGAUGCUUCAACAGGAUGUGGAACCGAAAAGAGCCUGGUUUACAUAGUAUAUGUCUGAAUCACAAACAACUGUUGCCACAACUAGGACAAGUUAACUUAAACUUUAAUCAGCACUCCUUCAUUUAUUUGCCUAAUUGGUAGUGAAGAAAAUAAAAACUUACAUGUAAAUCAUGUGUCUAUAUGCUGGCUAAUGUAAAACCAACGCUACCCACAAUUUUACAUACAGUAGCUGAACAUUUGAUCAUAACUGUUGUGAACAAAAUGAGAAUAUUGCAUAUGACCUUUUUUAUUCUUAUGAAACUAAACUGCAUAUGAAAGUAAGUGGAUCAGAAUUACUUUAUUGCUCAUUAAGUAGGAUACGGGUUUUUCCUAACAUGGCUGUACAUCAAACAUUUUCCUUUCAACAACUUCAUAUUACAAGAAACUGCCCACUCAUUCCUCACCGUCAGACGUGUGUCUCAGCUGGGACACCUUAAGAAAAGAGCAAAAACAAACCGAAGAGCUUCGGCCAGCAUCACACUGUCAAACUGAUGAGGAUACGUCAACAUGCCUGACAGGUUCACUCUGCUUACUUUCAGCUUUUGUUUCAUACUUCACAAUGUUUGUAGUUGGACCGUGAGUGCACCUCUCAACCACACAUUCAAUGAGGACGACUCUGUCAGUGUCACAUGCAUGUUUAAUGGAGAGGAUCAGUUUCAUUUGGAAGCUAAGUUGAAAAUGAAUGAUGAAUAUGUUUGUGAGGUUUAUAACAAAAGCCAAGUACAGGAUAAACGUAACUGUUUAUGGGAGCGUAAGGACAACAAAUUCACGUUCACCUUAUUGAACCCUGAGGGCUUACACAAAAAUAAUUUUUCCUGUGAGAUGUCCAAAAUUAAACCAUUUCCAGUCACAAUGAAAGUAGGACCAAAAACUAAGCUUUUCCGAGGUUGCAAUAAGUCUUUGGCUCCACUGAAGAACAGCUGUCCAAUCACUAACCAAACAAAUAACCAGGAUCACAGACCUGUAGAAAGUUACACACCUGAAGAAGUGUAUACCCUAUUAAUCUGUGGGCUGAUAAUAGUGGUGGUAAUGCUAUCUGUCUACAGCAUUAUUGUUACGGCAGUCUACAUCAGAUUGAGGGCCAUGAAUCCCGAGUCUUCUGACACACUGACCUAUGUCCCAAUGCAGAGGAAUGUAAACUGGCGUAAUCUAGACAACACCGAAUAUGUGGACAUGCGUGAAGUGCAGAAACGGGGAGGAUCCCAAAGAGAUAUGAACCACAACUCUCAUCAUGCUUUUGCCUGAGCCCAUUUCUAGUGGCAUAAGUGAGCUCAUGCUUUGACUGCUCUGCUGGAUGAAUUUCACUUGGGCCACACUAAAGAAUAACACAGGAUAAAACUAUCGCCUUUCUACCAAACAAAACAGACUUUUCUGAAUGCCUGAAUCUGCAUAUUGCGGCUGCACUGCAUACAUUACGCAGUCUUGAUGUUCUCUGUGUCAGAUGGUUUCAUCUGGUGGCUUGUACAACCUAAUGCUGAAUUGUAGCUAUGCCAAGUUAAAUGUAUAUAAAGUAUCUAACUUGGCAUUUUUUAUUUAUCAUUUUGAUCCCAUGGACCAAUAAUCAAUGAUAAUAAGAGUUUUGUUCAGUGCUUCCCCUCCCCCUCUCCCCCCCAAAAAAAUAAAAAAA